GGUGCAUCUCUAUAGUUCCAACUGGCCUGGCCCCAUAACAACAGUGCAUAGUUGUUCCCUGGAGGCCUCAGUGUUUCUUUGUUAAAACCAGGACACUGAAGGCAACGAGUUGUUUUCCAGCUAUAACUUUUCAGAACUCUAUGUUUCUGAAUCUAUUGGUGUCCACACUGAUCUAGGACUUUACUAAUGGUUCAAUGCUUCUGCCUUCCAGGAAAAGUACCAAAAAAAGAUUGGAAUCUCAGGGUUAGGGGCUUUGCUGACCAGGCUUUCUUCUGUGGGUGACAGUUGAGCUCAAAUGAUUCACUUUAAGUAGUUAUUCAAAGGGCACAGGAAGCAGAUGGUUGGCUAGGAGUUUUAAGUCAGUGGCUUGGGAAAGAACUCUGGGGAAAAUUGAGGUAAAACUUGGGGAUAUUUCUGACUGAUUUAGAUGUGGCAUGCUUUGGUGCAAAUUCAAUUGAGGGGAGCUGGAGAUUUAGAUCAGUGGCACUGUGUCUCCAUUACAAGUGCAAGGUCCUGAGUUCGAUCCCUGCUACUGGAAAAAAAAAUUCAAUCGAGGAGAGGGUGUGGUAGUACACGACUGUCUGAAUGAUAACCCAGGUAUAUCUGAGGUUAGAAUACCAUUGGGUUUGCUAUCUUGUUUUAUUCUUUUUCAAUUUCUUUCCCUUUGUCUCUUCCUCCCCAUUUUCUCUCCUUAGACCAGCGGAUGGUAGUUUUAGCACCUAGCUCUAACUCCCUUGUGGUUCAGGGGUGUGUUCUCUGAUUUUAGUAUAGGCCUGCUGUCAUCACUGCUGAAUAUUGUACCCACAGCCUCUUCUGCCAGCAGCCAAGAUUGCUGCUGUCUUGUCUUCCUCUGAACUCACUGUAUUAUUGUAAGGUUUCAUAGCAGCAAGGAGAUGCUUGCAGUUGUCCGUUAUAUUUCCAUGGUUCUCCGGAACAGACACACUUCUGAGUGUGUCCAGUUGUUCUUACCGGAGAGGGUGCAGCUCUCGUGUGAGUACAGCAUUCAGACACAAUGCUCUGUACCGCCUCGCCUUCCAUGGUCAUCUGGUCAGCCCUAGGAGGAUGCUGCUGACCCUCUUCUCUGGACAGCACACACCUCCUGUGGCACUGCUAGCACCUGCCCGCACACGCAGUGACUGACCUGAAGCAUGUCCCAUCUGUGUAAUUCCCUGAGCACUUGCGAUUAUCUGCCGGCAGAAGCCUGGGAUCAUCCCUCCCCGUCUGCCUGUGUCUGACAAGCUGCCUGGUGCGGUGUCAGUGAAUGGAUGGAUGUUUGAUGUAAAGGAGAGUGAAUCAGUAGAGGUA
RNAcentral lists this long non-coding RNA (1305 nucleotides) under Fukomys damarensis (Damara mole-rat). Its description in RNAcentral is "lncRNA (ENSFDAG00000029177.1)". The record is from RNAcentral. Lineage: Eukaryota; Metazoa; Chordata; Mammalia; Rodentia; Bathyergidae.